RNAcentral lists this ribosomal RNA (254 nucleotides) under uncultured bacterium. RNAcentral's name for it is "partial 16S ribosomal RNA". It matches the Rfam family "Bacterial small subunit ribosomal RNA", at positions 524 to 776 of the family's 1533-position model. The record is from RNAcentral.
UACGUAGGGGGCUAGCGUUGUCCGGAAUCAUUGGGCGUAAAGCGCGUGUAGGCGGUUCGGUAAGUCCGCUGUGAAAGUCGGGGGGCUCAACCCUCGGAUGCCGGUGGAUACUGUCGAGCUUGAGUACGGAAGAGGCGAGUGGAAUUCCUGGUGUAGCGGUGAAAUGCGCAGAUAUCAGGAGGAACACCAAUUGCGAAGGCAGCUCGCUGGGACGUUACUGACGCUGAGACGCGAAAGCGUGGGGAGCAAACAGG